AACGAACGCUGGCGGCAUGCCUAACACAUGCAAGUCGAACGAAGCCUUCGGGCUUAGUGGCGCACGGGUGCGUAACGCGUGGGAAUCUGCCCUUGGGUUCGGAAUAACAGUUAGAAAUGACUGCUAAUACCGGAUGAUGUCUUCGGACCAAAGAUUUAUCGCCCAAGGAUGAGCCCGCGUAGGAUUAGGUAGUUGGUGGGGUAAUGGCCCACCAAGCCGACGAUCCUUAGCUGGUCUGAGAGGAUGAGCAGCCACACUGGGACUGAGACACGGCCCAGACUCCUACAGGAGGCAGCAGUGGGGAAUAGUGGACAAUGGGCGAAAGCCUGAUGCAGCAAUGCCGCGUGAGUGAUGAAGGCCUUAGGGUUGUAAAGCUCUUUUACCAGGGAUGAUAAUGACAGUACCUGGAGAAUAAGCUCCGGCUAACUCCGUGCCAGCAGCCGCUGUAA
This 449-nucleotide ribosomal RNA is filed under the name uncultured bacterium. RNAcentral describes it as "partial 16S ribosomal RNA". It matches the Rfam family "Bacterial small subunit ribosomal RNA", at positions 29 to 523 of the family's 1533-position model. The record is from RNAcentral.